CGGCUCACCUAGGCGACGAUCCCUAGCUGGUCUGAGAGGAUGACCAGCCACACUGGAACUGAGACACGGUCCAGACUCCUACGGGAGGCAGCAGUGGGGAAUAUUGCACAAUGGGCGCAAGCCUGAUGCAGCCAUGCCGCGUGUAUGAAGAAGGCCUUCGGGUUGUAAAGUACUUUCAGCGGGGAGGAAGGGAGUAAAGUUAAUACCUUUGCUCAUUGACGUUACCCGCAGAAGAAGCACCGGCUAACUCC
This 251-nucleotide ribosomal RNA is filed under the name uncultured bacterium. RNAcentral describes it as "partial 16S ribosomal RNA". It matches the Rfam family "Bacterial small subunit ribosomal RNA", at positions 261 to 504 of the family's 1533-position model. The record is from RNAcentral.